GAUAUUUGCUAAAAGUUUUAUCACAAGUAAAACAAAUCUUUGAUACCUCUCUCUUCUUCUUCCACGCAGCUUACACCAAACUCUAACCUGCUAAACUUUCUCCAGCUCAGAUCUUCUCUUUCGUUCGCAACUAAGGUACAUACUGCUGGGCAUAUGCUACAUGACUAACAUGGAGGUCAUAUCAGAACACGAAAUUAUCGACUAUGACUGGACGUUUAACUUUUAGCAAGUUGUAUAACAUAAGUCUACUAUCUUAUCAUGAAGAACGACGAUGUGGACACAUAUGCAAAUUAUUUAUACAAUAACGACAACAACUAUACCCAGUAAAUCCCACAAAUAGCAAAGCUACUUAUAGGGUCUGGGGAGGGUGAGAUAUAGACAGACCUUGCCUCCAUCCCUAGGGAUAGAGAGGCUGCUUCCAGAGAGACCCCGGCUCCAAAACAAAUAACAUACAAACACACCAAGCAGGGCCGGCUCAAAAAUUUUUAAUUUUUUCUAGGCCCAAAGCGAAUAGCAAAAUUGGGGCCCUUUUUGUAAACAAAAAAAAUUGCUAUGAAUCUAUUAUUCAUAUAUCAUCUUUGUAUACGCAUAAUUAUAGAUCAUAAACCUCAAUGUUAACAAUUUCAAAGCCAAAAUUACCAAAAUAUAAUAUAUUAUCUUAGAACUUGAGGCCCUAGGAAAAUGGAGGCCUAAAGCUCUUGCUUUAUUUCACUCCCCCUUGAGCCGGCCCUGACACCAAGUCAAAUAAUAUUGAAAUAAGGAGUCACCAAUACCAAGAAAGUGAUCAGAGAGUGACACAAUAUAAUGUAAAACAUGUAUAAUAGCAUACAACAUCAUAUGGUAUAAACACAAGAAGGCAAUCACAUGUAAAGUCACUUAGAGGAUAAGAAAAAUGUACGUCCCUAAAUAUACCUAAGGCAAUCACCUGUAAAGUCCGGAAGCGAAGGAUAGCGGUUUAAAAAAGUUCCUAACGCAUGUUGACUACUAUAACAAGUAUUCAAAGGUUAUUGAGCAUUUGUCGGAAAAGAAAUGGUUCCCUAAGGAUGCUACGUGGUACCCCGUCAUAUGUAAGGAAGUUGAAAAACAAAAAAAAAAAUCUAACCUGACACAUGCUACAGUUGCAACAAUUGUUGCGUCAACCUUAGAAGGAAAACUUAACUCUGUGGUCAAGAAUUUCUUAGGCUUCUAUCAUUUACCAAUUCCAACGAUUGAUAAAUCAAAAGAUGAGGUCUUUAAGAUCUCGGAAGAUUCUUUGUUUGAGAUAACAACACUCUUUGUUAAUGGGAACGAUGUUGUUGUCGACUUUCUCACGGUAACAUCCGAUAUCAAAGACUAUUCAAACCUUCUAGAAGAAGCAUUACACAUGAUGAAAGGAUACGCAGAAGCAUGUAGUGUUAAAAGACGUGCACCCACUUACAGCAAAGAGUGGACGACUUAUGAUAAUAGGUGUAAUGAGUUUAAAAAGGCAUUGCAUGGAUUUUCAUUUAGGGAGGUAACAUACAAGAACGAGUAUAGAUGGAUGCGAACAUACCGAAUCAAGCUAAGGUAUUAUGAUAAAAUCUAGUUAUCAAAUUGCAAAAAUUAAGGGAUACUUGACCUCAUUCCAGAUAGGCUAGUCAUAGACGAACAAAGCAAUCAAUUAUAUUCCUAAAACGGUUACUAACUACUAACUAGAUAUGAUGAAAAUUAUGGGUAUAGACCCGAACGAGGUUUCUAGCGUGUUUAUUGUAAUUUGAAAUUGUAUCUAACCUUUUAUAGAAAAGCAUCAAAUUUUUGAACAAAUUGAGCCAACUUGAACUGACCCGUUUUACGCGGUGCCAACCACAUGACCAGAACCCGUUUUUCCACCCGUACAUGAUGAUUUGAUUGCUCGGAGGUUUCCGGUUAGAUAGCAAGUAAAAACAUUUUUU
Long non-coding RNA from Helianthus annuus (common sunflower), 1910 nucleotides. RefSeq lists it as uncharacterized. NCBI's taxonomy places the organism in Eukaryota, Viridiplantae, Streptophyta, Magnoliopsida, Asterales, Asteraceae. The record is from RefSeq and is a predicted model, not a curated record. The transcript has 6 exons.